Molecule: ribosomal RNA, 201 nt
Filed under: Staphylococcus aureus
Lineage: Bacteria; Bacillati; Bacillota; Bacilli; Caryophanales; Staphylococcaceae
Description: partial 16S ribosomal RNA
Rfam family: Bacterial small subunit ribosomal RNA
Source: RNAcentral
UCGUAGGUGGCCAGCGUUAUCCGGAAUUAUUGGGCGUAAAGCCCGCGUAGGCGGUUUUUUAAUUUUGAUGUGAAAGCCCACGGCUCAACCGUGGAGGGUCAUUGGAAACUGGAAAACUUGAGUGCAGAAGAGGAAAGUGGAAUUCCAUGUGUAGCGGUGAAAUGCGCAGAGAUAUGGAGGAACACCAGUUUGAAGUAAAUU